GUCUUCAUUGUUAUAUCACUGAUUAUUGCCCUAAUCUGUAAAGCUGUAAUGAUUACAAAUACGGUUCGAAUGCAGGAGCUCCCACGCGUCUCCGUCGCCCUGUCGCGAACAAUUGCCUCUCACUUAAUUACGAUUUAUUUAUAUUGUCUGAUAACAUUUGUCCUGUUUUAAACAUUUACUAAAUAAGGAAUAAACGAUUUUUAAAAACUCUAUCA
RNAcentral lists this unclassified non-coding RNA (215 nucleotides) under Melitaea cinxia (Glanville fritillary). RNAcentral describes it as "misc RNA ENSMCXG00005012694.1". Lineage: Eukaryota; Metazoa; Arthropoda; Insecta; Lepidoptera; Nymphalidae. The record is from RNAcentral.